GAGUUUGAUCCUGGCUCAGUACGAACGCUGGCGGCGUGCCUAACACAUGCAAGUCGAACGUGAUCCAGAGCUUGCUCUGGUGAAAGUGGCGCACGGGUGAGUAACGCGUGGAUAACCUACCCUGGUAUCCGGGAUAACAUUCCGAAAGGGGUGCUAAUACCGGAUAAGCCCACGGGCUCUUUGGAGCUUGCGGGAAAAGGUGGCCUCUAUUUAUAAGCUACUGUAUCAGGAUGGGUCCGCGUACCAUUAGCUAGUUGGCGGUGUAACGGACCACCAAGGCGACGAUGGUUAGCUGGUCUGAGAGGAUGAUCAGCCACACUGGAACUGAGACACGGUCCAGACUCCUACGGGAGGCAGCAGUGGGGAAUUUUGCGCAAUGGGGGAAACCCUGACGCAGCAACGCCGCGUGAGUGAUGAAGGCCUUUGGGUCGUAAAGCUCUGUCAGAGGGGAAGAAAUGAUAUAGUGCUAAUACCACUUUAUCUUGACGGUACCCUCAAAGGAAGCACCGGCUAACUCCGUGCCAGCAGCCGCGGUAAUAC
Molecule: ribosomal RNA, 540 nt
Filed under: uncultured Geobacteraceae bacterium
Lineage: Bacteria; Pseudomonadati; Thermodesulfobacteriota; Desulfuromonadia; Geobacterales; Geobacteraceae
Description: bacterial SSU rRNA
Rfam family: Bacterial small subunit ribosomal RNA
Source: RNAcentral